This 327-nucleotide ribosomal RNA is filed under the name Alphaproteobacteria bacterium. Its description in RNAcentral is "bacterial SSU rRNA". It matches the Rfam family "Bacterial small subunit ribosomal RNA", at positions 1 to 348 of the family's 1533-position model. The record is from RNAcentral. Lineage: Bacteria; Pseudomonadati; Pseudomonadota; Alphaproteobacteria.
GAACAUGAGAGUUUGAUCCUGGCUCAGAACGAACGCUGGCGGCAUGCCUAACACAUGCAAGUCGAACGCAAGGCUUCGGCCUUGAGUGGCGCACGGGUGAGUAGCGCGUGGGAACCUGCCCUGGAGUGGGGGAUAACCGAGGGAAACUUCGGCUAAUACCGCAUGCGCCCGGAGCAAUCCGGGGAAAGAUUUAUCGCUCUAGGAGGGGCCCGCGUCGGAUUAGCUAGUUGGUGGGGUAACGGCCUACCAAGGCGAUGAUCCGUAGCUGGUCUGAGAGGAUGAUCAGCCACACUGGGACUGAGACACGGCCCAGACUCCUACGGGAGG